This 253-nucleotide ribosomal RNA is filed under the name uncultured bacterium. RNAcentral describes it as "partial 16S ribosomal RNA". It matches the Rfam family "Bacterial small subunit ribosomal RNA", at positions 524 to 776 of the family's 1533-position model. The record is from RNAcentral.
UACGGAGGAUCCAAGCGUUAUCCGGCUUUAUUGGGUUUAAAGGGUGCGUAGGCGGCCAGUUAAGUCAGGGGUGAAAGACGGUAGCUCAACUAUCGCAGUGCCUUUGAUACUGAUUGGCUUGAAUGUACUUGAGGUAGGCGGAAUGUGACAAGGAGCGGUGAAAUGCAUAGAUAUGUCACAGAACACCGAUUGCGAAGGCAGCGUACUAAAGUAUGAUUGACGCUGAGGCACGAAAGCGUGGGGAGCAAACAGG